UGUUCUCUGGCUUAAGCUAAGGAAGAAACGCCUCUGCUGUCAGUCAAUUUGUGGGGAAGUGGAGAAAAGCCACUAGAGUCCUGUUAGCCGACAGAUUUUUAAAUACUUAUCUUGACGACUGGUUUCAGUUCUUCCCCACCCCCAUGCCUCCUGACUGAACUUGGAGCUUUUCCCAACAUACCCAACACAUCUCCUUUGACAGUGCUGGACUUCCUGUACACUUUCUCCUAGUCUGGAUUAUUUAUCAGUAAGAACUUAUUCUCUGGAAAUCAUUCACAAUUUCAUUUGUGCUACUGGUAUCACUUCUUAUUUGCUUUGCAACUAUGGAUUUAUUUUCCUUGUAAAACAACGUUGAUGUGUAAUGGAACUGGGAAGGAAAAGGAUAAACCCACUUCAUAUGUUCUCCGUUUUUUAACUAGGGGCUCUGUGAGCUUGAAUUCCCAGUUGGAGUUUAGAUUUGGUGCUUCAUUUGGACUCUGAACUUCCAAAGGUCUACCUCGGAGAACAUUUUGAGCAGGAAAGAGAAGUGCAGGGACUACUCUUCACUGAGAUGCGCAGGCUUCUCGUUGCGGCGGCUUCUCUUGCGGCAGAGCAUGGGCUCUGGGCCCCCCAGAGUUCAGUAGUUGCGGCACACAGGCUUAGUUACCCCGCAGCAUGUGGAAUCCUCCCAG
Cervus elaphus (red deer) is the source of this 671-nucleotide long non-coding RNA. RefSeq lists it as uncharacterized. The record is from RefSeq and is a predicted model, not a curated record. The transcript is spliced from 3 exons. Lineage: Eukaryota; Metazoa; Chordata; Mammalia; Artiodactyla; Cervidae.